UGGGUGUAUCUGCUAUUUUGUGUGCA
RNAcentral lists this non-coding RNA (26 nucleotides) under Homo sapiens (human). The record is from RNAcentral. Lineage: Eukaryota; Metazoa; Chordata; Mammalia; Primates; Hominidae.